RNAcentral lists this long non-coding RNA (3404 nucleotides) under Apteryx owenii (little spotted kiwi). RNAcentral describes it as "lncRNA (ENSAOWG00000006876.1)". Lineage: Eukaryota; Metazoa; Chordata; Aves; Apterygiformes; Apterygidae. The record is from RNAcentral.
AUGAGCCCUUUUUCCAGAAAAGCACCACAGUUAAGCAAAAGCGGACGGGACUGUCAAAACCGGCAGCUUUUUAACCGAGCGCCCGAGAGCGGCCAGCGAGGGGAGAGGCUCGUUUGCGCAAUCGGCCGCCAACUGCGGCAAGCGCUGAUGCAAGAAGUGAGGGAGGCUGGAUUAAAAAAGCCAAAUGAUGAGAGAGAACCGAGCAACGUGUCCGGCCGGUGCGAAAUCCCCGGCUACACGGCUUUGCAAGGGAAGCGUCCCUCGCUAAGCCCAAACCAGCCAGCAACUAAAGCGGAGUGGGAAACGCGAAGGCUCUUAAUGAAACGCUCACGCUCCAGCAAAAGUCUAAAUGGAUCCAGUGUUUGGCUGAACRGCGUUUAUAUCCCAGCGAAGCCUUGUUUUCCCAUCAGCUCUUUGAAGUGCCCAAUUAAGUGAUUUUCUACUAAUAGGAUUUUCCCAGGAAAGAAAGGCAAGACUGACAAAACGCUGAAUGCUUGAUUAACUCGGCCCCUAAAAGGACUUGGAUCGUGUUAAUCGACUGGUUCCCGGCCAUCUCCAGCCCUCGUUUGCUCCAUUUAUGCAGGCAUUUUGAUGAGACAUCGGCCCCGGCAGCAGGAUCCCACCAGGCGCAACCGGUGGGAUGAGACGGGCCCUGAAAYGAGGCCUUUGCUUCCUGGAAAUAUCCCCGGAUGCGGGAGCUGUGAAUUGUUCGCUUCAUUCAGCCCCGUGCUCGUUUUCAUCCAACAUUGGGUGGUUUUUGUUCUUUUUUUUUAGGCCCGUUCACAGUCAUUAACGUAAUUGCUUCACCGACUUUCCAUGAGCGAUUUGGGCGGKUUUUUUUUUUUCCCCUUCUGGCUGGCAGCAAAGAGCCUCAUUGUUCGCGUCCCYGAGGGGCUGCAGCAAGUACCUGCCUUUGGAUGUCGCCUGGACGUGCUUGUUUGCUCGCUGCUCCCCGCCGUCCGCUGCGACGGGGGGCUGGCGGCGUGCAAAGCGCCCCGGCGGCCCCGCUGCGGGUGCUCAGCGCCCACGAGGAUGCAGCCGCCGGCCUGAUUCGCAUCCCGCUGCUGAGAGCCCGAGUCGGUGUCGGCAGCGGGAGAGGGGCCCCAGGGCUCCGCGGAUUCGCUCGGAAGCUGCAGAGCUCUGGCCCUUUGUAGGCGGGCGCGAGGACAUGACUACGGCGAGCUGUUGACUCAGGCUGGCUCACGCCAGGCACUUUAAAAAUAAUCUCUGAUUGCGCGGGGCGCCCUCCGCCCAGCCUAGUCAAACACGGCGCCGGGUGCCCGCGGGACGAGGUGCUCGGCUGUCGGCGGCCGGGCCAGCGGCAGAGUCGCAGCACCAGAGAGUCUCCCCGCGAGCCGCCGGCGCCGGCAGCUUCGCCCGGCAUCUCCCUGCUCCCCAGCACCGUGCGUGCAUCAAACUCCGCAGAAACGGGGUAACGUGGGCGAGGGYGGCCCCGGCGCCGUGCUUCACGUAACCUUUGCACGGGGUUUUGCAAGGGCUGGUGCAGGCGGAGGAGCUGCGCUCCAGCUGUCAGCACGGACACAGGGCCAGGCGAGCGGGAAGGGGGAUGCAUCGGGCGGUGCAGAGGCAGGAAAGGGGGGAGGAGGUCUGUGUCCGGCUGCAUGCAGCCGCCGUGGUGCCACGAGGAAAAGGGGCGUCCAAGCUGGCGGCUGCAGGGAGGCAUCGCCCAGCCCGCGCACCGUCGCUGAGGGCUGUCUUGCAUCGUGGCUCGUGCUGCUGCCCGGUGCCGUAUGGAGCAAGAAAGGGCAGGGCACAAGCGUGUGUGCACAACUCGCAGUGAACCCGUCGGUAACGACACGACAGCCGCCACCUAGACGCCAGGGUAAGGCUUGAUUGCACUUUCCUUGUCAUCUGUUACUCAUAUUCAGCAGGAACUCCCGGACUUCUGGGGAGUGGAGCAGCCUUUGCCCCAGGCUGAACCUAGGACGUCCUUGACACUGCACGCUGACACGCAAAACUGUGUCAGAUCCCCAGCGACACGGACCACCAUGACCCAUUUCCAGGGACGGAGCUUUGGUCAGUUCCACCAAAUGAGGAUCCAACCUGGGGAUUUCCAAGCGCCAACAGAAAACCUUUUUCUUUUGGUUUCAUCCUCCCUCGCUAGUUUCUCUGCCUUGCCGAUGAGCGUCAACAUUGCACCACGGAAAAGACAGUUGAUGGAUCAUGGAGUCGCUGUCGGUAGUGGAACAGGCGGCUGGAUGUAGGUUGGAAGUGCUCCCUCCUUCACCUGCCACCAGUCACCCUGAGCCAGGGCCCUUCCCGUCACCCCGUAGCAAACUUGGGAGUCGUAGGAGAAGACCAAAAGUUUUACAGAAGACCAGAAGCUCCAGCUGUAAUAUGCCACAAAGAGAGCAAGAGAGACAAAGAGAGGGAGGGAGGUCAUCACCAACAGCAGGAAUAUGGAGACCUGAAAAUAUCCAUGCUACGGAGGAGGUCAAAAACCACUGCACUGGUCUCUAUCAAAUUGAUGUAGGGGGAAAACUCCUGACUCCAAAUCUGAUGAACGUUUAACCAUGAGUUUAUGAGCAGGACAUGUCAACUAGGCGCCUGCAAGUAGUAAUAUUGGCAGGAGCACCGGCGUACCACACCUGAACCCUAUCUCUCGAGCUGCGGCAACCUCCUCCCCAAAAGCUUAUAAUAGUCAUGCAUGAAAAGCUGAUCAAUUCAACAUUUGCUAGCACCAGGAAACACUGCCCUGAAUCCAGUAGAUAGACAUUCUUCAGUAACCUACGGCGUUUUAAUGCAGUGGCAAAUAAUGCCACUAUUAGUCAGAAACCAGGGCCUGCAAACGACGCCAAACGCUCUGUCCCUGGUGGAGGCAGCUGCUAGGAGCAGCUUCCUCGCGGAGACACGGCUGCCCGCCUGCUCACGUGGCGUGCUGAAUAUUCACGUGCGAAGCAGCCUCUGCAGACAGCAAAGAUAACGCUCCUCUCUCACAGCUGGCGGGAGCGAUCUUCCAGCCAGCUGAGAAGCGACACCCCGGGUGACAGGGCGCCCCACCCUGAUACCGCGGCUCCACCCUGAUACCGCGGCUCCUAAGGCGACGCUGCCGGCCUGCCAAGGGCCUCGCGCCCGGAGCAGCCCUUCGCCGCUCGUGCUGGCCGCCGGCACCGCGCCGCAGCUGCGCACGUCGCAGAUACGUUGCAGCCGGCCAGCGUUUUCACGUGCCGCCCGCCCAAAGCAGCCUAAGGACAGUCUCUGACUGCGACCAGGAUCGUGCAAGGGAAUUUGAGGAUUAACGCUGCUGAAAUCUGUGGAAAAAUCAUCUGCAGUUGGGCUUUAUAAAAAGAAAAGGAUGGGGAGGAUGCACAGUUGCUGUUCGGGUUGGGUUAAAUGAGUUGGUGCCACUGCAAAUAAAAGCUACUCCCACAAAAAUACUGGCA